RNAcentral lists this long non-coding RNA (221 nucleotides) under Manihot esculenta (cassava). Its description in RNAcentral is "long non-coding RNA (MESC_LNC011388)". Lineage: Eukaryota; Viridiplantae; Streptophyta; Magnoliopsida; Malpighiales; Euphorbiaceae. The record is from RNAcentral.
AUUAUUUUUUAGUCCCUGAGGUUUAACGUAAUUAAUACUUAUGUCCCUCUAUUUUGGCGACCCAACACUUAAGUCCCUCACUUUCUCUUCCGUCCAAAUUCGUAGUCCUUCCGUCCAAAAUAUCCGUUUGGUCAAAGAGUCAAAGGUGAGAAGUGAGAAUUUUUUCCAAAAUUACCCUUAAUGAACUUAUUGAAACCCCUCAAUCUGAAAUCCCUCAAUCU